Cervus elaphus (red deer) is the source of this 620-nucleotide non-coding RNA. The record is from the annotation of a RefSeq genome assembly. NCBI's taxonomy places the organism in Eukaryota, Metazoa, Chordata, Mammalia, Artiodactyla, Cervidae.
UACAUCAACUAACCCCUGUUUCCUGUUGUGGGGCAGCAACAGCACAUACCCAGCAAUUCUUCUCUCACUCUGUCAGGCUCAUCUCACCUUGAACAUUGAAGAAGAUACUUUCCUUCUAGUGGAAGAGCUGAAACAUGCUUCUCUCCAGCCUUCUGAAUGUGGUCGUGGCUUCACUGUGUUUAGGAUCCAGUAUUGCCCAGAAAGUAACUCAGGACCAACCACCAAUGUCAGUGCAGGAGAAAGAAACUGUGACCCUGGAUUGCACAUACGACACCAGUGUUACAACUUACAGUCUGUUCUGGUACAAGCAACACAGCAGUGGGGCGAUGGCCUUCCUCAUUUGCCAGGACUCUCAUAACAAGCAAAAUGCCACAGAAGGCCGCUACUCAUUGAAUUUCCAGAAGGCAAGCAGAUUCAUCAAACUUACCAUCUCAGCCUCACAGCUGGAGGACUCUGCAGUGUAUUUCUGUGCACUGAGGGAGCCCACAGUGAGAGGCGUGCAGGAGGGUCCUGCACCAAAACCCAGAGUUCUAAUGAUACACCCACCUGCGGUAGGACCAGGGUGGGGAACUGCCUUCACAGACAGGAGUGGUUAGGACUGCGGCAGCACAGGUGUAGGU